This 443-nucleotide ribosomal RNA is filed under the name uncultured bacterium. RNAcentral's name for it is "partial 16S ribosomal RNA". It matches the Rfam family "Bacterial small subunit ribosomal RNA", at positions 338 to 795 of the family's 1533-position model. The record is from RNAcentral.
CCUACGCGUGGCAGCAGUGGGGAAUAUUGGGCAAUGCGCGCAAGCCUGACCCAGCAACGCCGCGUGAAGGAAGAAGGCGUUCGGGUUGUAAACUUCUUUUCUGAGGGACGAAGAAAGUGACGGUACCCGAGGAAUAAGCCACGGCUAACUACGUGCCAGCAGCCGCGGUAAUACGUAGGUGGCAAGCGUUAUCCGGAUUUAUUGGGUGUAAAGGGCGUGUAGGCGGGAGCGCAAGUCAGAUGUGAAAACUCAGGGCUCAACCCUUAGCCUGCAUUUGAUACUGUGUUUCUUGAGUGCUGGAGAGGCCAUCGGAAUUCCGUGUGUAGCGGUGAAAUGCGUAGAUAUACGGAGGAACACCAGUGGCGAAGGCGGAUUGCUGGCCAGUAACUGACGCUGAGGCGCGAAAGCGUGGGUAGCAAACAGGAUUAGAUACCCUGGUAGUC